This 850-nucleotide ribosomal RNA is filed under the name uncultured Bacteroidota bacterium. Its description in RNAcentral is "bacterial SSU rRNA". It matches the Rfam family "Bacterial small subunit ribosomal RNA", at positions 9 to 847 of the family's 1533-position model. The record is from RNAcentral. Lineage: Bacteria; Pseudomonadati; Bacteroidota.
GAGUUUGACCAUGGCUCAGGAUGAACGCUAGCGGCAGGCUUAACACAUGCAAGUCGAGGGGUAACAGGAUUUAGUUUACUAGACCUGCUGACGACCGGCGCACGGGUGAGUAACGCGUAUACAAUUUACCUUUUACAGGGGGAUAGCCUUUAGAAAUGAAGAUUAAUACCCCAUGGUAUUAUAGAGUGGCAUCACUUUAUGAUUAAAGCUUCGGCGGUAAGAGAUGAGUAUGCGUCCUAUUAGCUAGAUGGUAAGGUAACGGCUUACCAUGGCGACGAUAGGUAGGGGUCCUGAGAGGGAGAUCCCCCACACUGGUACUGAGACACGGACCAGACUCCUACGGGAGGCAGCAGUGAGGAAUAUUGGUCAAUGGAGGCAACUCUGAACCAGCCAUGCCGCGUGCAGGAAGACGGUCCUAUGGAUUGUAAACUGCUUUUAUAGAGGAAGAAACCCUGUUACGUGUAAUCGGCUGGCGGUACUCUACGAAUAAGCGCCGGCCAACUACGUGCCAGCAGCCGCGGUAAGACGUAGGGCGCGAGCGUUAUCCGGAUUUAUUGGGCGUAAAGGGCUCGUAGGCGGUUAUGUAAGUCGGGUGUGAAAACUUGGGGCUUAACCCUGAGAGGCCAUUCGAUACUGCAUUGACUGGAGUUCGGUAGAGGAGUGUGGAAUUCCUAGUGUAGCGGUGAAAUGCGCAGAUAUUAGGAGGAACACCUAUUGCGAAGGCAGCACUCUGGGCCGAUACUGACGCUGAGGAGCGAAAGCGUGGGUAGCAAACAGGAUUAGAUACCCUGGUAGUCCACGCCGUAAACGGUGGGCACUAGAUGUGGGGACUUUCAACGGUUUCUGUGUC